RNAcentral lists this long non-coding RNA (1000 nucleotides) under Medicago truncatula (barrel medic). RNAcentral's name for it is "long non-coding RNA (MTRU_LNC008809)". The record is from RNAcentral. Lineage: Eukaryota; Viridiplantae; Streptophyta; Magnoliopsida; Fabales; Fabaceae.
CAUAAAAAAAUCUAUAAAUUCAUCAACAACAACAUUAUCACCACCACCAUCAUCAUCAUCACUUCAUCACUACACCUCCACCACCAUAAACAACACCACCUAAUCUAAUAACCAAGAUUCAUCACCCCAUAAACAACAAAAAUCACCAAUUUUCUUAACACUGUCAAAACUCCAGAUCUGCAAUUAGGUAACAAUAAACACUGUCAUCACUGUUAAAGUGACUAAUUACAACCCAGAUAGUUUUUUUUUGUUUUGAAAAGCCAAUAUUAUUAAGGCAAUCAAUCCCUUGAGAAAAGAGAAAAGUUGCCAAGAGAGAAACAAAAAGAACCCCAAUGCAUAGAGCAUACAGAGAACUGAUACAGCGGUAAAAGGCUCCCACACCACUAACGUAACACGCCUACAGGGGAGCCACAGAGGUACAUCAGUAAUCACAAACAACCAAAAAAACAAAAUUGAAACGGAGACAAAAACCCUGCCUACGCUAGAAAAACACAGCCAACACUAUAAACCCAUACUCCCUCCUUCAUUCGGAUCUUCAAUUUCGAACAACAACAUAAACCCAUAAAUUAAUUCACCUUCUUAUUUCCUUAAAAAAAAACAACAACAACAACAACCGAUUUCUAGAUCACGUCGCGAACUCCGUUGCGUUUUGUUUUGUUGAUUUGUGUUUGAUUGAUUCUUUGUUUUAAGACUUCAUAUGAUCUAGAAUUUUUUAGGAGAAGUUGGGUUUGUUGUUAUUUAUUUGGAUUUUGCAUAUUAUGGAUAAACUUUUGGAUUUGAUGCAAAUUGUUUUUGGGUUUUUCUAGGAUUUUUUUUUAGUUUUGGAUGAAUGUAUGAAGAUGAAGAAGAAAAAGAGGAAGGAAGAUGAAGAAAGGAAGAAAAAAUUCAGGCGGCGACAGUAUACCAGUACUUACAAUACACCUUCAAAAUCCAAUGGUUUAUGUUUUAAAAAAUAGAUUAAACGGUUAAGAUUAAAAAAUUAUUGAGGUUUACAGUAGAC